AUUGAACGCUGGCGGCAGGCCUAACACAUGCAAGUCGAACGGUAACAGGAAGACGCUUGCUUCUUUGCUGACGAGUGGCGGACGGGUGAGUAAUGUCUGGGAAACUGCCUGAUGGAGGGGGAUAACUACUGGAAACGGUAGCUAAUACCGCAUAACGUCGCAAGACCAAAGAGGGGGACCUUCGGGCCUCUUGCCAUCGGAUGUGCCCAGAUGGGAUUAGCUAGUAGGUGGGGUAACGGCUCACCUAGGCAACGAUCCCUAGCUGGUCUGAGAGGAUGACCAGCCACACUGGAACUGAGACACGGUCCAGACUCCUACGGGAGGCAGCAGUGGGGAAUAUUGCACAAUGGGCGCAAGCCUGAUGCAGCCAUGCCGCGUGUAUGAAGAAGGCCCUCGGGUUGUAAAGUACUUUCAGCGGGGAGGAAGGGAGUAAAGUUAAUACCUUUGCUCAUUGACGUUACCCGCAGAAGAAGCACCGGCUAACUCCGUG
Molecule: ribosomal RNA, 490 nt
Filed under: uncultured bacterium
Lineage: Bacteria
Description: partial 16S ribosomal RNA
Rfam family: Bacterial small subunit ribosomal RNA
Source: RNAcentral